CCAAACAGCAAGCAAUGCAGGUGUAGAAGCACGGUGGCUAGGAAAAACUCCAUAGAAAGGCCAAAACUUAGGAAGAAACCUAGAGAGGAACCAGGCUAUGAGGGGUGGCCAGUUCUCUUCUGGCUGUGCCGGGUGGAGAUUAUAACAGAACAUGGCCAAGAUGUUAAAAUGUUCAUAAAUGACCAGCAUGGUCAAAUAAUAAUAAUCAUAGUAGUUGUCGAGGGUGCAACAAGCACGUCCGGUGAACAGGUCAGGGUUCCGUAGCCGCAGGCAGAACAGUUGAAACUGGAGCAGCAGCAUGGCCAGGUGGACUGGGGACAGCAAGGAGUCAUCAUGCCAGGUAGUCCUGAGGCAUGGUCCUAGGGCUCAGG
This 371-nucleotide long non-coding RNA is filed under the name Salmo salar (Atlantic salmon). Its description in RNAcentral is "lncRNA (ENSSSAG00000093998.1, ENSSSAG00020044579.1, ENSSSAG00075051889.1)". The record is from RNAcentral. Lineage: Eukaryota; Metazoa; Chordata; Actinopteri; Salmoniformes; Salmonidae.